Non-coding RNA from Microcebus murinus (gray mouse lemur), 3294 nucleotides. NCBI's taxonomy places the organism in Eukaryota, Metazoa, Chordata, Mammalia, Primates, Cheirogaleidae. The record is from RefSeq and is a predicted model, not a curated record.
GAAUGGCUUGGUGCUAUGCUUAUGGUAAUGAGUUCUCACUCUAUUAGUUCUCAUGAGAGCUGGUUGUUUAAAAAGAGUCUGGUACCUUCCCCUUCUCUCACCUCCUCCUUUGUCAUGUGAUCUCUGUACAUGCCAGCUUCUCUUCCCCUUCUAUCAUGGAUGAAAGCAGAUUGAGACCCUCACCAGAGACAAACACUGGCACCAUGCUUCUUAUACACCCUGCAGAACCAUAAGCCAAAUAAACCACUUAAAAAAAAUUACCCAGCCUCAAGUAUUACUUUAUAACAACAAAAAAAGGACUAAGAUAUCAACUAGUAAGAUAUCAGAGACAAGCCAUAUAUUUGCUGUGUAAAUUGAAGACCUGCAGGUUUGUCUUGUAUAGCCUUAGACCUAUUAAUGAGUUGCAAAGGGCAUCCUCCAAGAAAGGAGGGAGGCAUGAGGAGACCUGUCUGUCCUCUCUUCUCAAGGCUGGCAACUCAGAUUUAGAGUAUCCCCUUGACCAAGAGGGGGUCCAUUCAUUCGGGGCGGGGGCAGCCUUAAAAUUUUCUUUUAGUUCGCAUCUUUAUGAUGUUGCCUUCCAUUGAAGUUGAGGGAUUUGUUGACAUGGGCUCAAUUCAAAUCUAAAAUGAGCCUUAGCUUGUUAGGGAGCUUUAUUGCUUUGGAAUCAGAGACACUCAGGGUCUAGUCCUGGGGUCUUGGGUGUGGUGGUUAAUUUGUAUGUCAAUUUGGUUGGGCCAUGGUGCCCAGAUAUUUGUUCAAACAUUAUCCCAGAUAUUUCUGUGAAGGUGCUUUUUGGAUGUUAUUAACAUUUAAAUCGGUGGACUUUGAAUAAAUUACCCUCCAUCAUGUGGGUGGCCUCAUCUAAUCAAUUGAAAGCCUUCGUAGAACAAAGACUACCUCCGAAGAAGAGUGGAUUCUGCCAGCAGAUGCUACUCUUCCUUAGGCCUCCAGCCUGCCUGGCCUACCACAUCAGAUUUUAGACUCACCAAGCCUCUAUAAUUGAAAAGACAGGAAGUUGACAGAAGCCGUAUGUUUCAAAGAGUUGAACAGUAAUAAUUCCCUCUGGGGGUAUAAAUGGAAGAAGCUGGAUGGAAAAGACCCCGUUUAAAGGAUAAUAAAGCAUAAAGCACUCUGAGAAGUGUUGAAGGUAAGACCUCAACUCUACAAGCUGAUAAGCAGGCCCAGACUUUUAUUUAUAUUGACAUGAGUGACAUUUAUCUGCCUUUCACUAGAACCUGUAAUCCACAUGUCAAGGUGUGUCUUAAAUGGAGACCUGAUUUCUGGUCAGAGUUGGCAGGCUUUGAAUACAAAUGUGACUGCCCUGGCUGAAGUUCCUGAUUGGAAAAAAAAAAUCCUUGAGAUGGGAAAUCAUCAGGUAACCAUAUCAAUUCAAUUUCAGUUUUCCUCAGAGAAGACACUGCCUAAAGAGUCUUGGCUUUGUGAUAGAAGUUAUAAUCUAUCAAUUAAAGUAGGCAUGGAAUGAAUUACUGAGGGGUUCACAAACCUCAACAUCCCCUUACUUAUUAAUAGUUUCUAAGUACAAUCAUGAUAGAAUUGUAGAUGUCUCUUUAGUACCCUAAUUGUUAACCCAGUCCAGUUUUAGGAAUUGAAAAUCAAGAUGAAUCAAGGACAGCUAGCUAUGGAGACUGCCUGGCUGCCAUAGUUGAGGGACUAAGGGAGAUCAGGGUAUAGUAAGUAUUCUCUUAAGGAGCUUGUCUCCUAGGUAAUGAGAUAAGGCAUAAACACAUUGAAAAUUAAAUAGCUAUAAGCAAAUUGAAUAGCAGUUCAAAGGGGGAAAAAAGCCAUAAUUAUUUACAAAUAAACAGAACUUACUAGAAUAGUUCAAAAGAGGGAAAGAAAAAAGGUUACUGUGGGUGAGGAGUCAAGCAAGAAUUUGGGAAGGCAGUGGGAUUUGAAAUCGGUCUUCAUAGAAGAGGGAGAUAAAUAAGACUUUCACUACAAUGGUGUAUCAUUCAUUAACUGCAGGCCCUGGUGGUCCCACUCUCCCACCUCUAUCUGUCUCUUUCGCCCUCUCUCCCUCUCCUCUACUCAUCGUCAAUAUGCUUCUUUGGACACUUGAUUCAUUCUCCCAUCUAUUGUUCUUAAGUGCAAGGCCUUUUGUCAUAGAUCUGCACCUCAGAUUUGUCCUAGGCCAUAAACACCUUAGGGGAGUGUCUUUUGUUUCCUUCUCUUUGCCUCGUGUAAAGCUGUGCCCAAAUAUAGUUCUCUUUUUUUAACCAAUCAACUUUAUUUUGGUAUAAUUUAUACACACUAAAUUGCGUCUAUAUGGUUCAAUGAGUUUUAACAAAUGUGUACACUUGGGCAGCCACCACUACAAUCAAGAUGUAGAAUUAAUUUCAUCACCCCAGAAAGGUCCGUUGUGCUCCUUUGCAGUGGAAACUCCUUCCCCAUCUCUGGCCUCAGCACUGCCAGGCCAGGAACACUCCUUUCCCCAAAGGUGCUGCACUGGAGGGAGGAGGCAGCCCUCUGCAGAGGGUUAAGAGCCUCGCGCUGUAGCUAGUGACCCAGGUCACGUGGCCUGGCUUCUAAACCUGCUGCUGUGUGGCCAUGAAUAAGCCUGUCAUCUUUCGAUCCCACUGCGCUCGCUCAGAAACAAGGAGCUAAACCAAGUCACCUCUAAAGACUAUUCAGAGACCCGUGGGACCUAGGCAGAGGGAGCAUCCGAUGAAAGGCCCGGGACAGUGUGACUGGCGAGGAUGAGAAACAGCAGAGGCUAACGUGGCCUGAUGCACUUCCCUUUCAGUACCUGGAAUGCUCCUACUCAGAACCCAGCCACCAUGCUGUGAGGAAGCCCAAGCAGUUAUGUGGAGAGGAUUUCUUUGGCCUAUUUGAUCUAUCCACUACUGCAAAUGCCUGUUCCAGCUAUCUCAGCCCAGAUGCCACACAGGAGAGUCAAGAAGUCAUCUUAGACAUCCAGCCCAGUCUAGCAUUGAGGUGACUCCAACCCUAGCCAUGGGUUACCACAUGCAAGUCCCCCAGGCAAGCACCACUAAGUCCAGUGAAUUCCCAUAACUAGAGAAAUAACAAUAAAUCGUUGUUUCAAGCCAUUAAGUUUUGGAACAAUCUGUUGGAUGUCAAUAAGUAAUGUUUACCCAAUGCCUGUAUCAUCAUUGUAUCUUGGAAGUAGAUAACUUGGUUUUGAUUUUACAGCCUCAUAGCUAGAAGAAACCUGCUUUGAGUCUCAGAUGAGACUUUGGACUUCUGAGUUGAUGCUGAAAUGAGUUAAUACCUUGGGGACUGUUGGGAAGGGAUGGUUGUAUUUUGCAAUGUGAG